GAUGAACGCUAGCUACAGGCUUAACACAUGCAAGUCGAGGGGCAGCAUGGUCUUAGCUUGCUAAGGCCGAUGGCGACCGGCGCACGGGAGAGUAACACGUAUCCACCCUGCCGUCUACUCUUGGACAGCCUUCUGAAAGGAAGAUUAAUACAAGAUGGCAUCAUCAGUCCGCAUGUUCACAUGAUUAAAGGUAUUCCGGUAGACGAUUGGGAUGCGUUCCAUUAGAUAGUAGGCGGGGUAACGGCCCACCUAGUCUUCGAUGGAUAGGGGUUCUGAGAGGAAGGUCCCCGACAGUGGAACUGGGACACGGUCCAAAGUGAUACGGGAGGCAGCAGUGAGGAAUAUUGGUGAAUGGGCGAGAGCCUGAAGCAGCGAAGUAGCGUGAAGGAUGACUGCGCUAUGGGUUGUAAACUUCUUUUAUAAAGGAAUAAACGCGUGUAUGGAUACCCGUUUGCAUGUAAUUGAUGAAUAAGGAUCGGCUAACUACGUG
RNAcentral lists this ribosomal RNA (490 nucleotides) under uncultured bacterium. Its description in RNAcentral is "partial 16S ribosomal RNA". It matches the Rfam family "Bacterial small subunit ribosomal RNA", at positions 28 to 507 of the family's 1533-position model. The record is from RNAcentral.